UUUAGUUGUGUUUGUUUUCUUCUUUGUAGAGAGUAUUUGUAAGAGAGUUGUGUUGGAAAAUACUUUGAGUGAACCUCUUCUUUGGAGUGAUCUUUGUGAGGUUAUUCUUUUGGGUAUUUGGGCUAUUAGAGUAUUUAAUUACUCUAAUUUUGUACUCUCUUUUGUAUCUUUGUACUCUUUUUUUGUUCCGUUGAUGUUUAGUGAAGUUGCUUCUCUUUUGGUUGUGGACGUAGGUCAAGUUGACCGAACCACGUUAAAUUUGUGCCUCCUAUAUUUUCUCAACUUAUCAUUAUUAUCGUCUUCAAACGAUUACUUUGUUUAAUUUCACACUAUCCGGGAUUCUCAAUCCUAACAGUUAUGUUAUUCUUGAAGCAAUUCAGAGCAAUGAACAGGAUUAAGAAACUCACUCUUAAGGUCCCAAAAUGACCACUUAUGGGCUAUAAUGUUUACUUCCUUCGUUUUCGUUUUGUGUGAUACAAUUUCUUUCUCUUGCUGAAAUAUGCAAAUUGAUUGAAGGUUAUUGCGGAAAAUUUAUCAGACGAGAAAUUGAGGGACUAAAGCAAAUCUUCAACAAUAUGGAUACUGAUGAAAACAGUACAAUCACGCAUGAAGAAAACUAUCAUAAAUUUAUUGCACUGACUUUUUCAUAACAAUGAAGUGAAUGUGUUCGAGAGUAACUGUUAUUCUAUUGGCAGCAUAUUUAAUUUAUCUUACCAUUUAUUCCAUUGAAUAUAAAGUUUUACGACUCUGAAUGACGUUUAUUCAUUUCUCAUUAAUCUAUAGGUAUCAAGAAUCAAGCAAGAACGAUGAUGAGGACAAAGAAAAUUGAUGCCAAAAUACUUCUGCAUAUACACG
This 855-nucleotide long non-coding RNA is filed under the name Capsicum annuum. RNAcentral's name for it is "long non-coding RNA (CANN_LNC001111)". The record is from RNAcentral. Lineage: Eukaryota; Viridiplantae; Streptophyta; Magnoliopsida; Solanales; Solanaceae.